RNAcentral lists this ribosomal RNA (254 nucleotides) under uncultured bacterium. Its description in RNAcentral is "partial 16S ribosomal RNA". It matches the Rfam family "Bacterial small subunit ribosomal RNA", at positions 524 to 776 of the family's 1533-position model. The record is from RNAcentral.
UACGGGGGGGGGCAAGCGUUGUUCGGAAUUACUGGGCGUAAAGGGCUCGUAGGUGGCCAACUAAGUCAGACGUGAAAUCCCUCAGCUUAACUGGGGAACUGCGUCUGAUACUGGAUGGCUUGAGUUUGGGAGAGGGAUGCGGAAUUCCAGGUGUAGCGGUGAAAUGCGUAGAUAUCUGGAGGAACACCGGUGGCGAAGGCGGCAUCCUGGACCAACACUGACACUGAGGAGCGAAAGCCAGGGGAGCAAACGGG